Molecule: long non-coding RNA, 2417 nt
Organism: Oncorhynchus kisutch (coho salmon)
Lineage: Eukaryota; Metazoa; Chordata; Actinopteri; Salmoniformes; Salmonidae
Exons: 2
Source: RefSeq, a predicted model, not a curated record
CGCAGUUGCAAAUGAGAACUUGUUCUCAACUAGCCUACCUGGUUAAAUAAAGUGAACUACCAAGAGAACAGUAAAAUGGAGUGUCCUGAAGAUCUCCAUGACAUCAGCCAUGGGAGAUAGUCAUCUUCAUUCUGCUCCCGACCAUUAUAAUGAAUCAGAGUGCAUCUCAGUCUGUCUGUUAAGGAUCCAAUUCUCAUAGAUGACGUGAGAUUACAUGGAAACACUUGUCUCGUGUUGAGCCUAUUCUGAAGCAGCAUUAUGGCAUUCAUAUUGUAACAUCAAAAGAGAGAUUGAUAGUAGGAAGACCUGAUAAAACCAUAGGAUCAAAUGCUAGCGGUCAUAUGUUUCACUGUAAACGUUAGACGGAUGGUUUACAGAUGGUGGAUAUCUUCCUGCGUAAAGAGUAGCUGCUGUUUAAGUAGGAACUUUAAUCAGAAUUAACGUCAGCUCUCAGAACUCGCUGAACUUUUUGGAUGAAUCAUUCUCGACAGUUAGCAGUCACCAAGUUCAUCCUGAAUGAAUUCACUGCACUGAGAACACAUGCACACAAAUACACACUCAGCCCUCCCUGCUUGAGCUUGGGCCAGUCACGGUGGGGGUCUGUAUCUGGGCAGUCCGAUCUAAAUAGGGUCAGCCACCCCACGGAGACACUGUAGCUCAAUACUAAAAGUGAGAUACUGUACAGUAGCAUCCUGUUUAAUCCGUAUGGCUGCAUGGCCUCUAACAUGGCUCUAAAUGCUAUAGUGUUGCCUUCCUCUGUGUGAUUGUAAUACAGCCCAUGUGUUUUAGAAAUAUUUCCACACUAUGAAGUUGGAAUAAUACUGUGAAAAUUGUGACAAUACCAUUUUAGUGUAAGAUUUGGUUGAAAAGCCUGAAAUUCAAGCCUGUUGCGGUGGGAUGGAGUUUUGGUCUGAACAUGAACAUCCUUUGUGCAUUGUUUGGUCACUCAAAUGACUUUGCCGUGAUCUGUCAAAGUUUCUGCGUGCGUUUCAGGGAGCAGCUGAGCAAGGAAACCCAACACUUCUAAAUAAGAUCGAGGCAGAGAUCUACGUUACAGAGGGGGAAAGUGGAGAGGUAGACGAUGAACAUCAAGUGAGACAGAUUGAGGCAGCAUCAAAGAAACCAGCGACACGGUUACUAGUAAAAAUGAGCUUUUAAAUCCUUAACAAGACAAGACAAACAAAUCAGAACUGUGCUGACAAAGGGAGUCGCCGGUAUUGGGAAAACCGUCUCUGUGCAGAAGUUCAUUCUGGACUGGACAGAAGGAAAAGCCCAUUCAUUGUUCCACUUCUUUUCUGAGAUUAACUUAAAUAAAGGGGGGGGGGAAACACAAUUUGAUGGGUCUUCUUAAAGGCCCAGUGCAGUCAAAGUGAUUUUCUUGUGUUUUAUGUAUAUUUCUACACUGAGGUUGGAAUAAUACUGUGAAAUUGUGAAAAUUAUGAUAAUGCCCUUUUAGCGUAGUAGCUUUUCAGUCUGUUGUGGUGGGAUGGAGUUCUUGCAUGCCUGGUGGCGUUAAAUUAGUUAAUAGACCAAUAAGAAAGGACGUUACAAACCUCUCUGCCAAUAACAGGUCAUUUUCAGGUUUCACCUCCCCACACCCAGGCAGUCCUAGUUAAAUUCUUGCUUUAGAAAUUGCCCUUUGCUAAGAUGCUAUUUUGGUUUCUUUUUGAUCAUUUUAAUUCAGAAAUGAUUUGAUUUUGAGAUAAUAAAAAAAAUGGCUGCAUUCGGCCUGUAAUGUUACAUCAGCUAACUGUAAGACCUGACCUGAGGUUGGGUAAGGACUUUCUGUUAAGUGGGUUUCCCAUAGAAUGGGCAAGUAAGUCUUAGAAAGGACAGGACAGACCUGCAUGGCUUUGAAUGAGAAUGUCUAUUUGAUUACACAGACCAUUCUACACAGAUUUUGAUUGAUCUAUAUUGGAAUUUAGAUGUAUUCAUGAUUUUGAUGCUCUUCCUGAGUACUUGCAUGUGUGCACUUUGCAUGUAGAGGGCAGUCCCAGGCUCCCAGACCUUGUUCUAUCCUUCAUUAGUUUUCAUGGUGAUGUGGGUUGACAUUUAAACUUAUCACAGCGGACCCCGGAGCAGCACUUCCCCUCGAUAACCACAGUAACAGGGUAAUUUGUUUUAAUCAGAAAGAAUUGGUUUAGAAACCCCAGCAGACCAGGGCCCUAUCGCCUACUCAGGAAAACACCUUCAAGGACGUAGAAGGACAACAGAGUGAAGGACAACAGGAAUGAACACAUGCAAGUGCACACACAGAUACAAACACACGCUCACUUACUCACACAUACACACAAACACACUCAUGCACUCAUACACACAACAAUUAAGGAUGCUCCCUCUUUGAAAGGACAAUAUGUAUAUGUGUGUGAGCUUGUGUUUGAGCUUAUGUUUGUGUUACCCAUAAAGAUUGAGAGUUC